AACGAACGCUGGCGGCAUGCCUAACACAUGCAAGUCGAACGAGACCUUCGGGUCUAGUGGCGCACGGGUGCGUAACGCGUGGGAACCUGCCCUUAGGUUCGGAAUAACUCCCCGAAAGGGGUGCUAAUACCGGAUAAUGUCUUCGGACCAAAGAUUUAUCGCCUUUGGAUGGGCCCGCGUUGGAUUAGCUAGUUGGUAGGGUAAAAGCCUACCAAGGCGACGAUCCAUAGCUGGUCUGAGAGGAUGAUCAGCCACACUGGGACUGAGACACGGCCCAGACUCCUACGGGAGGCAGCAGUGGGGAAUAUUGGACAAUGGGCGAAAGCCUGAUCCAGCAAUGCCGCGUGAGUGAUGAAGGCCUUAGGGUUGUAAGCUCUUUUACCCGGGAUGAUAAUGACAGUACCGGGAGAAUAAGCUCCGGCUAACUCCGUG
Molecule: ribosomal RNA, 432 nt
Filed under: uncultured bacterium
Lineage: Bacteria
Description: partial 16S ribosomal RNA
Rfam family: Bacterial small subunit ribosomal RNA
Source: RNAcentral